This 305-nucleotide ribosomal RNA is filed under the name uncultured bacterium. Its description in RNAcentral is "bacterial SSU rRNA". It matches the Rfam family "Bacterial small subunit ribosomal RNA", at positions 335 to 655 of the family's 1533-position model. The record is from RNAcentral.
GUCCUACGGGGCGCAGCAGUGGGGAAUAUUGCACAAUGGGCGAAAGCCUGAUGCAGCAACGCCGCGUGAAGGAAGAAGGGUUUCGGCUCGUAAACUUCUAUCAACAGGGACGAAAGAAAUGACGGUACCUGAAUAAGAAGCCCCGGCUAACUACGUGCCAGCAGCCGCGGUAAUACGUAGGUGGCAAGCGUUGUCCGGAUUUACUGGGUGUAAAGGGCGUGUAGCCGGGUUGACAAGUCAGAUGUGAAAUCCUGCGGCUUAACCGCAGAACUGCAUUUGAAACUGUUGAUCUUGAGUACUGGAGA